This 222-nucleotide ribosomal RNA is filed under the name uncultured bacterium. RNAcentral describes it as "partial 16S ribosomal RNA". It matches the Rfam family "Bacterial small subunit ribosomal RNA", at positions 116 to 334 of the family's 1533-position model. The record is from RNAcentral.
CGUGGGGAUCUGCCCAGUAGUGGGGAACAACUCCUCGAAAGAGGAGCUAAUACCGCAUACGGUAGGUAUCGAGGGAUACCAUACUAAAGCCGACGCAAGAAGGCGCUAUUGGAGGAACCUGCGGCUGAUUAGCUAGUUGGUGGGGUAAAGGCCUACCAAGGCGAUGAUCAGUAGCUGGUCUGAGAGGAUGGACAGCCACACUGGGACUGAGAUACGGCCCAG